UAGUAAAUAGUAUAGUAGGAAGUACACAGAGUUUUGAUCUCUGUAGGAUAGGUUCAAAUCCUAUUUUUCUAA
RNAcentral lists this transfer RNA (72 nucleotides) under Pavoraja nitida (peacock skate). Its description in RNAcentral is "tRNA-Gln". It matches the Rfam family "tRNA". Rfam says of the family: Transfer RNA (tRNA) molecules are approximately 80 nucleotides in length. Their secondary structure includes four short double-helical elements and three loops (D, anti-codon, and T loops). The record is from RNAcentral. Lineage: Eukaryota; Metazoa; Chordata; Chondrichthyes; Rajiformes; Arhynchobatidae.